Octopus sinensis (East Asian common octopus) is the source of this 455-nucleotide long non-coding RNA. RefSeq lists it as uncharacterized. The transcript is spliced from 3 exons. The record is from RefSeq and is a predicted model, not a curated record. NCBI's taxonomy places the organism in Eukaryota, Metazoa, Mollusca, Cephalopoda, Octopoda, Octopodidae.
GCCCUUCCUACUGUUAACUAAUUGACUAUGAAGUAGGCGUGAAGUCUGGUGUAGAUCACACCAGACAGAGACAAGCAAGGCUGCAUUUAUUACUCAAGAGAAAAAAAUAUAUUGAUUGUAUGAAGUAAGACUCAAAGUCAUGAUUAUGGGGUCAGUUGUGGACUCCUUUUCAACCAUGUCGCUCUUUGCUGAUAUCUUUCUAGAACUGUAGUUCUCUGAAACUCUCUGCCUCCUGGCCAUUUUGUUUUCUACAGGCAUCAACAUCCAGAGGAUCAAACUGAACAUCAAACUCACCAAUUUGAGAGAACUUACUCAGCAAAGCAUCAAUUGGUUAAAGACUGGCUAAGGAGGAGAAGGAAGAGGAGGAGGAUGGAGAUACAAUAAUAACAACAACAACAACAACAAUAUCAACAAUGUCUGUUGUUGCUGCUCUUGUUGUUGUUUCUGUUAGUUAG